CACGUAGGGGGCAAGCGUUGUCCGGAUUUAUUGGGCGUAAAGAGCGUGUAGGCGGCCAUGCAGGUCAGCUGUGAAAACUCGAGGCUCAACCUCGAGACGUCGGUUGAAACCGCAUGGCUAGAGUCCGGAAGAGGAGAGUGGAAUUCCCGGUGUAGCGGUGAAAUGCGCAGAUAUCGGGAAGAACACCUAUGGCGAAGGCAGCUCUCUGGGACGGUACUGACGCUGAGACGCGAAAGCGUGGGGAGCAAACAGG
Molecule: ribosomal RNA, 253 nt
Filed under: uncultured bacterium
Lineage: Bacteria
Description: partial 16S ribosomal RNA
Rfam family: Bacterial small subunit ribosomal RNA
Source: RNAcentral